This 465-nucleotide ribosomal RNA is filed under the name uncultured Klebsiella sp. RNAcentral describes it as "bacterial SSU rRNA". It matches the Rfam family "Bacterial small subunit ribosomal RNA", at positions 338 to 795 of the family's 1533-position model. The record is from RNAcentral. Lineage: Bacteria; Pseudomonadati; Pseudomonadota; Gammaproteobacteria; Enterobacterales; Enterobacteriaceae.
CCUACGGGAGGCUGCAGCGGGGAAUAUUGCACAAUGGGCGCAAGCCUGAUGCAGCCAUGCCGCGUGUGUGAAGAAGGCCUUCGGGUAGUAAAGCACUUUCAGCGGGGAGGAAGGCGGUGAGGUUAAUAACCUCAUCGAUUGACGUUACCCGCAGAAGAAGCACCGGCUAACUCCGUGCCAGCAGCCGCGGUAAUACGGAGGGUGCAAGCGUUAAUCGGAAUUACUGGGCGUAAAGCGCACGCAGGCGGUCUGUCAAGUCGGAUGUGAAAUCCCCGGGCUCAACCUGGGAACUGCAUUCGAAACUGGCAGGUUAGAGUCUUGUAGAGGGGGGUAGAAUUCCAGGUGUAGCGGUGAAAUGCGUAGAGAUCUGGAGGAAUACCGGUGGCGAAGGCGGCCCCCUGGACAAAGACUGACGCUCAGGUGCGAAAGCGUGGGGAGCAAACAGGGUUAGAUACCCGUGUAGUC